This 505-nucleotide ribosomal RNA is filed under the name uncultured bacterium. Its description in RNAcentral is "partial 16S ribosomal RNA". It matches the Rfam family "Bacterial small subunit ribosomal RNA", at positions 29 to 523 of the family's 1533-position model. The record is from RNAcentral.
AACGAACGCUGGCGGUGCGUCUUAAGCAUGCAAGUCGAACGGUAACGGGCCUUCGGGUGCCGACGAGUGGCGAACGGGUGAGUAACACGUAGGUGAUCUGCCUUUGGGUUGGGGAUAGCCUGUGGAAACACAGGGUAAUACCGAAUGAUGUCGUAGUACUGUGGUGCAACGAUUAAAGGGGCUAUGGCCCCGCCUGAAGAUGAGCCUGCGGCUGAUUAGCUAGUUGGUGAGGUAAAGGCUCACCAAGGCGACGAUCAGUAACCGGCCUGAGAGGGGGGGCGGUCACACUGGGACUGAGAUACGGACGAGAGUCCUACGGGAGGCAGCAGCUAAGAAUCUUCCGCAAUGGACGAAAGGCUGACUGCGCGACACCGCGUGAGUGAUGAAGGCGGAAACGUUGUAAAGCUCUUUCAUGGAUGAGGAAUAAGCUUGGAAGGGAAUGUCCGGGUGAUGACGGUAGGCCAUGAAUAAGCCCCGGCUAAUUACGUGCCAGCCGCCGCCGUAA